RNAcentral lists this ribosomal RNA (456 nucleotides) under uncultured bacterium. Its description in RNAcentral is "bacterial SSU rRNA". It matches the Rfam family "Bacterial small subunit ribosomal RNA", at positions 340 to 786 of the family's 1533-position model. The record is from RNAcentral.
UACGGGAGGCAGCAGUGGGGAAUAUUGCACAAUGGGCGAAAGCCUGAUGCAGCUAUGCCGCGUGUAUGAAGAAGGCCUUAGGGUUGUAAAGUACUUUCAUCGGGGAGGAAAAAACAAAACUAAUAAUUUUAUUUCUUGACGUUACCCGAAAAAGAAGCACCGGCUAACUCCGUGCCAGCAGCCGCGGUAAUACGGAGGGUGCUAGCGUUAAUCAGAAUUACUGGGCGUAAAGAGCACGUAGGUGGUUUUUUUAAAGUCAGAUGUGAAAUCCCUGGGCUUAACCUAGGAACUGCAUUUUGAAACUGAAAUACUAGAGUAUCGUAGAGGGAGGUAGAAUUCUAGGUGUAGCGGUGAAAUGCGUAGAUAUCUGGAGGAUACCUGUGGCGAAAGCGGCCUCCUAAACGAAUACUGACACUGAGGUGCGAAAGCGUGGGGAGCAAACAGGGAUUAGAUACC